RNAcentral lists this ribosomal RNA (310 nucleotides) under uncultured bacterium. RNAcentral's name for it is "bacterial SSU rRNA". It matches the Rfam family "Bacterial small subunit ribosomal RNA", at positions 28 to 334 of the family's 1533-position model. The record is from RNAcentral.
GAUGAACGCUAGCGGCAGGCUUAACACAUGCAAGUCGAGGGUAACAGGAGUAGCUUGCUACUCGCUGACGACCGGCGCACGGGUGCGUAACGCGUAUGUAACUUGCCUCUAACUGGAGAAUAGCCCCGAGAAAUCGGGAUUAAUGCUCCAUAAUACCACGAAUUCGCAUGUUUUUGUGGUUAAAGCUCCGGCGGUUAGAGAUAGGCAUGCGUGACAUUAGUUUGUUGGUGAGGUAACGGCUCACCAAGACUACGAUGUCUAGGGGGCCUGAGAGGGCUAUCCCCCACACUGGUACUGAGACACGGACCAG